This 272-nucleotide ribosomal RNA is filed under the name uncultured bacterium. Its description in RNAcentral is "partial 16S ribosomal RNA". It matches the Rfam family "Bacterial small subunit ribosomal RNA", at positions 524 to 794 of the family's 1533-position model. The record is from RNAcentral.
UACAGAGGUGGCAAGCGUUGUUCGGAUUUACUGGGUGUAAAGGGCACGUAGGCGGUUCGGAAAGUCGGAUGUGAAAUCCUAUGGCUUAACCAUAGAAUGGCAUCCGAUACUCCCGGGCUAGAGUGUGGGAGAGGAAGAUGGAGUUCCCGGUGUAAGGGUGAAAUCUGUAGAUAUCGGGAGGAACACCAGUGGCGAAGGCGAUCUUCUGGCCCAUUACUGACGCUCAGUGUGCGAAAGCAGGGGGAGCAAACGGGAUUAGAUACCCGUGUAGU